Molecule: ribosomal RNA, 437 nt
Rfam family: Bacterial small subunit ribosomal RNA
ACGGGAGGCAGCAGUGGGGAAUAUUGGGCAAUGGGCGAAAGCCUGACCCAGCAACGCCGCGUGAAGGAAGAAGGUCUUCGGAUUGUAAACUUCUUUUAUGAGGGACGAAGGACGUGACGGUACCUCAUGAAUAAGCCACGGCUAACUACGUGCCAGCAGCCGCGGUAAUACGUAGGUGGCAAGCGUUAUCCGGAUUUACUGGGUGUAAAGGGCGCGUAGGCGGGGAUGCAAGUCAGAUGUGAAAUCUAUGGGCUUAACUCAUAAACUGCAUUUGAAACUGUAUCUCUUGAGUGCUGGAGAGGUAGACGGAAUUCCUAGUGUAGCGGUGAAAUGCGUAGAUAUUAGGAAGAACACCAGUGGCGAAGGCGGUUAGCUGGACAAUAACUGACGCUGAGGCGCGAAAGCGUGGGUAGCAAACAGGAUUAGAUACCCUGGUA